Molecule: ribosomal RNA, 253 nt
Filed under: uncultured bacterium
Lineage: Bacteria
Description: partial 16S ribosomal RNA
Rfam family: Bacterial small subunit ribosomal RNA
Source: RNAcentral
UACAGAGGUCUCAAGCGUUGUUCGGAUUCAUUGGGCGUAAAGGGUGCGUAGGCGGCGCGGUAAGUCGGGUGUGAAAUCUUGGAGCUUAACUCCGAAACUGCAUUCGAUACUGCCGUGCUUGAGGACUGGAGAGGAGACUGGAAUUUACGGUGUAGCGGUGAAAUGCGUAGAUAUCAUUUGGAACGCCAAUGGUGAAAACAGGUAGCUGGGGCUGUGCUGACACUGAGACACGAAAGCCAGGGGAGCGAACGGG